AUACUUACCCAGCAGGACAGAUACCAUGAUCACGAAGGUGGUUUUCCCAGGGCGAGGCUUAUCCAUUGCACUCCCCAUCUGGCUCUGCUGUUUCCCUAAAUACAGGAAACUCGAUUGCAUAAUUUGUGAUGGUGGGGAACUCAUUUGCAUUCUCCCCU
Molecule: small nuclear RNA, 158 nt
Organism: Microtus oregoni (creeping vole)
Lineage: Eukaryota; Metazoa; Chordata; Mammalia; Rodentia; Cricetidae
Product: U1 spliceosomal RNA
Exons: 1
Source: RefSeq, a predicted model, not a curated record